This is a small nuclear RNA of Callipepla squamata (scaled quail), 155 nucleotides long. It matches the Rfam family "U1 spliceosomal RNA". From Rfam's summary of the family: U1 is a small nuclear RNA (snRNA) component of the spliceosome (involved in pre-mRNA splicing). Its 5' end forms complementary base pairs with the 5' splice junction, thus defining the 5' donor site of an intron. NCBI's taxonomy places the organism in Eukaryota, Metazoa, Chordata, Aves, Galliformes, Odontophoridae. The record is from Rfam.
AAAGGCAGGGGAGACACUAUAAUCAGGCAGGUGGUUUUCCCAGGGCGAGGCUCAUCCCCUGCUCUCUGGGUGUGCUGACCCCUGUGAUUUCCCCAAAUGCGGGAAACUCGACUGCAUAAUUUGUGAUAGUGGGGGACUGCGUUCGCACUCUCCUA